GACGAACGCUGGCGGCGUGCUUAACACAUGCAAGUCGAACGGAAAGGCCCUGCUUGCAGGGUACUCGAGUGGCGAACGGGUGAGUAACACGUGGGUGAUCUGCCCUGCACUUCGGGAUAAGCCUGGGAAACUGGGUCUAAUACCGGAUAGGAGCCAUUUUUAGUGUGAUGGUUGGAAAGUUUUUUCGGUGUAGGAUGAGAUCGCGGCCUAUCAGCUUGUUGGUGGGGUAAUGGCCUACCAAGGCGGCGACGGGUAGCCGGCCUGAGAGGGUGGACGGCCACAUUGGGACUGAGAGACGGCCCAGACUCCUACGGGAGGCAGCAGUGGGGAAUAUUGCAGGAUGGGCGCAAGCCUGAUGCAGCGACGCCGCGUGGGGGAUGACGGCCUUCGGGUUGUAAACUCCUUUCGCUAGGGACGAAGCUUUUUGUGACGGUACCUAGAUAAGAAGCACCGGCUAACUACGUG
Molecule: ribosomal RNA, 465 nt
Filed under: uncultured bacterium
Lineage: Bacteria
Description: partial 16S ribosomal RNA
Rfam family: Bacterial small subunit ribosomal RNA
Source: RNAcentral